Molecule: ribosomal RNA, 254 nt
Filed under: uncultured bacterium
Lineage: Bacteria
Description: partial 16S ribosomal RNA
Rfam family: Bacterial small subunit ribosomal RNA
Source: RNAcentral
CACGUAGGGUGCGAGCGUUGUCCGGAAUUAUUGGGCGUAAAGAGCUCGUAGGCGGUGUGUCGCGUCGGCCGUGAAAACCUGCAGCUUAACUGUGGGCUUGCGGUCGAUACGGGCAUCACUGGAGUUCGGCAGGGGAGACUGGAAUUCCUGGUGUAGCGGUGAAAUGCGCAGAUAUCAGGAGGAACACCGGUGGCGAAGGCGGGUCACUGGCUCGGUACUGACGCUGAUGUGCGAAAGCGUGGGGAGCAAACAGG